GAUGAGCUACCUACCCAUGUGCACUGUUUACAGUGAUGGUAAUGCUCUUUGCACUCUUUAGGAUGGGAGCCUCUAGUCACUCUUGACUGCUGAGCUCCUGAAGCAUCACAAGGACAGAGAACUUCGUUUUACUUACUUGGAUGAGUUAUAUGUGGCUGGUGGCUUGUGUAUGGAUAACAGAGCUUUAGAUAAAAUACAUCUGAGGAAAGCUUAUUGAAAUGUGAAUAAUUUAAACUUGCCUCUGAGCAAAAGCUCUAACUGAACUGUUUGUAUGUUAACACUUUCCUUAGUAGUGUUCCUGCCUCAUGCCCUUCAUGUGAAUGACCGUUUGAAAAAAGCAGUUCUUGCAUCUUACUGUUGCAAGUGCUUAGAAUUGCAUAGACUAGAGACUCAAAUGCCAGAGACUGUUCUGAGAUGGUUAACACAUUUUAGCUUUGAAACCUGUAGCAUUAGGCCCAACAGUUUAUUUUAGAUUAAUUUGAAAUAAUAUAUCUUCUAAGUAAAAUAGAUCUCAUUUUAUCUAUGAUCAACCUGGAAUAUGGAGGUAUGUCAUAUUUAAACAUUUUAAAAAGUAGAUGAGACUAAAGGCAGAUGUUCUUAAUUCCAGCAGGUUAAUUUUGUCUGUUUUCAUGGAGUAUCACUUCAUCUUCACUGAUCAUUUGGUUAGCUGUAGUUCAGUAAAGGCAGCAGUGAAGAUGGCACCUCCCAGAAGAGUGCUUGGCUUGGUAUAAUCAUUGGAACUACAGGUGAAUAUUGAAAGUUUCAUCUUCAUGAUUCCAAGCAAAUAUAUUAACUGUUCUGAACUUUUGGUGAAAACUGUGAUAAAGUUAUGGAGAAUGG
Mastomys coucha (southern multimammate mouse) is the source of this 840-nucleotide long non-coding RNA. RefSeq lists it as uncharacterized. The transcript has 2 exons. The record is from RefSeq and is a predicted model, not a curated record. Lineage: Eukaryota; Metazoa; Chordata; Mammalia; Rodentia; Muridae.